AACAUGCAGUCGAACGGAGUGCCUCGGCACUUAGUGGCGGACGGGUGAGUAACGCGUGAGAACCUGCCUUCAGGAUGGGGACAACAACGGGAAACCGUUGCUAAUACCCAAUAGGCCGAGAGGUGAAAGAUUUAUCGCCUGAAGAGGGGCUCGCGUCUGAUUAGCUAGUUGGUGAGGUAAAAGCUUACCAAGGCAACGAUCAGUAGCUGGUCUGAGAGGAUGAGCAGCCACACUGGGACUGAGACACGGCCCAGACUCCUACGGGAGGCAGCAGUGGGGAAUUUUCCGCAAUGGGCGAAAGCCUGACGGAGCAACGCCGCGUGAGGGAGGAAGGCCUUUGGGUUGUAAACCUCUUUUAACGGGGAAGAAGAAAGUGACGGUACCCGUUGAAUAAGCAUCGGCUAACUCCGUGCCAGCAGCCGCGGUAAUACGGAGGAUGCAAGCGUUAUCCGGAAUUAUUGGGCGUAAAGCGUCCGCAGGUGGUCUUUCAAGUCUGCUGUUAAAGAAUCAGGCUUAACCUGAUCAAAGCAGUGGAAACUGGGAGACUAGAGUUCGGUAGGGGUAGCGGGAAUUCCCAGUGUAGCGGUGAAAUGCGUAGAGAUUGGGAAGAACAUCGGUGGCGAAAGCGCGCUACUGGGCCGAAACUGACACUCAGGGACGAAAGCUAGGGGAGCGAAAGGGAUUAGAUACCCUGGUAGUCCCCU
RNAcentral lists this ribosomal RNA (704 nucleotides) under uncultured bacterium. RNAcentral's name for it is "bacterial SSU rRNA". It matches the Rfam family "Bacterial small subunit ribosomal RNA", at positions 52 to 800 of the family's 1533-position model. The record is from RNAcentral.